CGCAAUUCUGGCAGUAACUUACUUUAAACCCUGCAACAAUCUACUGUAUAUGAGUAUACAGUACACUACUGGGCAGAGCAAAGUAUUGUGGGUAAUAAACGGAUACUUAUGUACAGUACUGAUGUACUGUAAAUGAAUUUACAGUAGUACAAUCCCCGGGAAAAAAUUGACCAACCACAACGUUGCUCUGCUUCUCAAUUUUCUGACAAAGCCGCCAUCUUUGUGCUGCAGGAAAGCCGUUUGAGAUAUUGGUGAAAUUCAAACACUUUGUGAGAUGACAGAAUAUUGCUGAAGGAUCCUACAUGGAAGCUGGCUGAUUACACGGAGUGAUUCCUCUGGUGUGGUGUACCUCAGAGAAAUAAACACUGUUGCAACAGCUGAGAAGAUGGCCAAGAUAUCCUUAUUGCUGGAUGGUAGCUCUGGUCGUAGUGGACCAUAUCUGCAAAUGCUUCUGAACAUUGACAGAAUUU
Engraulis encrasicolus (European anchovy) is the source of this 470-nucleotide long non-coding RNA. RefSeq lists it as uncharacterized. The record is from RefSeq and is a predicted model, not a curated record. The transcript is spliced from 3 exons. Lineage: Eukaryota; Metazoa; Chordata; Actinopteri; Clupeiformes; Engraulidae.